This 389-nucleotide ribosomal RNA is filed under the name Acanthamoeba genotype T4. RNAcentral's name for it is "SSU rRNA". It matches the Rfam family "Eukaryotic small subunit ribosomal RNA", at positions 800 to 1093 of the family's 1831-position model. Lineage: Eukaryota; Discosea; Longamoebia; Acanthamoebidae. The record is from RNAcentral.
UACAUUAGCAUGGGAUAAUGGAAUAGGACCCUGUCCUCCUAUUUUCAGUUGGUUUUGGCAGCGCGAGGACUAGGGUAAUGAUUAAUAGGGAUAGUUGGGGGCAUUAAUAUUUAAUUGUCAGAGGUGAAAUUCUUGGAUUUAUGAAAGAUUAACUUCUGCGAAAGCAUCUGCCAAGGAUGUUUUCAUUAAUCAAGAACGAAAGUUAGGGGAUCGAAGACGAUCAGAUACCGUCGUAGUCUUAACCAUAAACGAUGCCGACCAGCGAUUAGGAGACGUUGAAUACAAAACACCACCAUCGGUGCGGUCGUCCUUGGCGUCGGUCUUUCGGGGCCGGCGCGGGGACGGCUUAGCCCGGUGGCACCGGUGAAUGACUCCCUAGCAGCUUGUGA